Cavia porcellus (domestic guinea pig) is the source of this 136-nucleotide small nucleolar RNA. Lineage: Eukaryota; Metazoa; Chordata; Mammalia; Rodentia; Caviidae. The record is from Ensembl.
CUGGCCCUGAAUCGAGGCCAGUGGCUUCUUGACACGGUUCGUUUCAAGCAGGUUCCUAAAGAGAUGUCUUUCUAUGGUCUGUGGGGCAUUUCAGAACUUGGGCAGUGAAAUGGUUUUUCAUUAGAAAAAAGCAGCU